UGUAGUCAUAUGCUUGUCUCAAAGAUUAAGCCAUGCAUGUCUAAGUAUAAGCAAUCUAUACAGUGAAACUGCGAAUGGCUCAUUAAAUCAGUUAUCGUUUAUUUGAUAGUACCUUACUACAUGGAUAACCGUGGUAAUUCUAGAGCUAAUACAUGCUAAAAAUCCCGACCUCUGGAAGGGAUGUAUUUAUUAGAUAAAAAACCAAUGCCUUCGGGCUCCUUGGUGAUUCAUGAUAACUUUACGAAUCGCAUGGCCUUGUGCCGGCGAUGGUUCAUUCAAAUUUCUGCCCUAUCAACUUUCGAUGGUAGGAUAGUGGCCUACCAUGGUUUCAACGGGUAACGGGGAAUUAGGGUUCUAUUCCGGAGAGGGAGCCUGAGAAACGGCUACCACAUCCAAGGAAGGCAGCAGGCGCGCAAAUUACCCAAUCCCAAUACGGGGAGGUAGUGACAAUAAAUACUGAUACAGGGCUCUUCUGAGUCUUGUAAUUGGAAUGAGUACAAUUUAAAUCCCUUAACGAGGAACAAUUGGAGGGCAAGUCUGGUGCCAGCAGCCGCGGUAAUUCCAGCUCCAAUAGCGUAUAUUAAAGUUGUUGCAGUUAAAAAGCUCGUAGUUGAACCUUGGGCCUGGCUGGCCGGUCCGUCUCAUCGCGUGUACUGGUCCGGCUGGGCCUUUCCUUCUGGCUAGGCACAUGCCCUUUACUGGGUGUGUGUCCGAACCAGGACUUUUACUUUGAAAAAAUUAGAGUGUUCAAAGCAGGCAUAUGCUCGAAUACAUUAGCAUGGAAUAAUAGAAUAGGACGUGUGGUUCUAUUUUGUUGGUUUCUAGGACCGCCGUAAUGAUUAA
Molecule: ribosomal RNA, 843 nt
Filed under: uncultured Chaetothyriales
Lineage: Eukaryota; Fungi; Ascomycota; Eurotiomycetes; Chaetothyriales
Description: SSU rRNA
Rfam family: Eukaryotic small subunit ribosomal RNA
Source: RNAcentral